CUCUGCAUAACAUAGGAUUCUCUGAUUCUGGAAAAUACAUCUGCAAAGCUGUUACAUUCCCGCUUGGAAAUGCCCAGUCCUCUACAACUGUAACUGUGUUAGUUGAACCCACUGUGAGCCUGAUAAAAGGGCCAGAUUCUUUAAUUGAUGGAGGAAAUGAAACAGUAGCAGCCAUUUGCAUCGCAGCCACUGGAAAACCCGUUGCACAUAUUGACUGGGAAGGUGAUCUUGGUGAAAUGGAAUCCACUACAACUUCUUUUCCAAAUGAAACGGCAACGAUUAUCAGCCAGUACAAGCUAUUUCCAACCAGAUUUGCUAGAGGAAGGCGAAUUACUUGUGUUGUAAAACAUCCAGCCUUGGAAAAGGACAUCCGAUACUCUUUCAUAUUAGACAUACAGUAUGCUCCUGAAGUUUCGGUAACAGGAUAUGAUGGAAAUUGGUUUGUAGGAAGAAAAGGUGUUAAUCUCAAAUGUAAUGCUGAUGCAAAUCCACCACCCUUCAAAUCUGUGUGGAGCAGGUUGGAUGGACAAUGGCCUGAUGGUUUAUUGGCUUCAGACAAUACUCUUCAUUUUGUCCAUCCAUUGACUUUCAAUUAUUCUGGUGUUUAUAUCUGUAAAGUGACCAAUUCCCUUGGUCAAAGAAGUGACCAAAAAGUCAUCUACAUUUCAGAUGUUCCAUUUAAGCAGACCUCUUCCAUAGCUGUAGCUGGAGCGGUAAUUGGAGCUGUUCUUGCCCUUUUCAUCAUUGCUAUCUUUGUGACUGUGCUGCUGACUCCUCG
This 778-nucleotide long non-coding RNA is filed under the name Homo sapiens (human). Its description in RNAcentral is "long non-coding RNA NONHSAT194314.1". The record is from RNAcentral. Lineage: Eukaryota; Metazoa; Chordata; Mammalia; Primates; Hominidae.